GCGCGCGGGGUUGGCUGCCGGGAGGUCGACGCUAGUGCGGUCCCCCGCGCGGCGGAGGGGCCCGGGCCGCGGUAUCUGCGCACUGAGACGUCGGCGGAAGGCUAGAGGCCGUGCUCUCGCCCCCGCAGAAGGCCACCACUCCUUGAGAAGGCCGGAGGGACAAAGCACCGGGCCUGCGCCGGGGGCAUUCAAGAAGGAAGCCAGGCCCGACCGGGGGUGGCGCACGCUUCCCGAACCCCAGGCCCACGGCCCGGUUCCGCGCGGGCAGUUGGCGCCCCCUCGGGUCGGCACAGCAGACCUCUUAGUAAUGGUCCCCAGGGAGUGUGAGUGGGUCCCCGCCAAUCUUUUAAGGUUCAGAGAUCCACCGUCGAACGAAGCCGCUUUUACAACUUCCCCAUUUAGCCUCUUUCCUCCCCCGCCGCUGGCUAAAGCGCUGAACCUUGCCAUCCUCCUGGGGUGCCUAACGAUUUGCCCUGCCUUGGACAGCCAGUCCUCUUCAGGUGGUGGGCUGCUGGUAGGGGUAGGAAGCAAGGCCUGGGGCACAGUUGGGGACCCUCACACCUGAUUUUCUGUUUUAAGGAGGAACUGGGUUUCAAAAAGCUGUAGAGUCAGUGGGAGUUUCCUUUUGUGGCCCUUGGCACUUUUUAAAACACCCAUCUGCAAGGCGGGAACAGCGGAGAAAGUGCUAUGUAGUUCAUAAAAAGGAUAUUGGGAGACUGUUAUCUUAAGAGUUUUUCUAGAGAUUGUUUUGUAAUCUCUCAGUUUAGAGAGUUGAUAUGUCCCGCGCCAUCAGCCCGCUGAAUGGGAUCUUCCUUCAGACAGGGACUGAGAAACGGAAAUACUACCAUCCUCCAGCCAAUCUGUUGGGAGGACUGCUUGCAGAGGACUCGUGCUCCAGAUGUUGCACUAGAGGCGCUGCAAGUGUGAGCAGCAGGUAGAUGAAACUCAAGAGAAAAGGUGUGGAUAAAUGAAACUAGCCCAUGAUGAACCUGUUUUCUCCGUGACCACAAUAUUAACCAGGAUGAAUGGCGGUGGCAGUGGGCCUGCAUCACAGGUUGCAGCAGAUGUUCUCAAUAUUUCUAUUAAAAUUUCCUUAUUUCCAUAUGCAAGAGGAGCCCCAGAGCUGCAUCCUUAUGGUAGCUACCAUGCCGUGAUGUAAGCUGCCAUUCACUGGGGAGCUUUGGCAAUAGAAUUGGCUAGAUCAGGAAGCCUAUGUCAACUAUGGAACAACAACUUGCAGCUCAUCUCUAUUGAUGAUGGAAUCUCGCUAUGUCACCAGGCUGGAGUGCAGUGGCGCAACCUCGGCUCAGCGCAACAUCCGCCUCCCGGGUUCAAGUGAUUCUCCUACCUCAGCCUCCUGAGUAGCUGGGAUUACAGAUACACUGCCUCUAGGACUGGGACAGAUAGCCACUGAGUACCUGCUUCAAAUCACCCUGCACG
Molecule: long non-coding RNA, 1440 nt
Filed under: Homo sapiens (human)
Lineage: Eukaryota; Metazoa; Chordata; Mammalia; Primates; Hominidae
Description: non-protein coding NR2F1-AS1:71
Source: RNAcentral